RNAcentral lists this long non-coding RNA (3015 nucleotides) under Acromyrmex echinatior (Panamanian leafcutter ant). Its description in RNAcentral is "uncharacterized LOC105154568". Lineage: Eukaryota; Metazoa; Arthropoda; Insecta; Hymenoptera; Formicidae. The record is from RNAcentral.
UAAUUGUUUUCUAGUUAUAGACUGGAUUAUAUUUGCAUCUAAAGGAUAUAAUACAUAAUAAUGUCAUUAGUGUGAAUUGCGAAAAUAAGUGGAUUCAAAUCUUUAAUUGAUAAAAUUCAAUUUAAUAAGCCAAAAUCAUCGUUAUCGGCUAGCAUGUCAUACGAGAUCACAGAAACUAAUCGUGAUGUUGAUGAUGAAGAGAGUACAACCGAGUUUUUUAAGUCGGACGAAAUCUGUACUGCCUGAGAAAGUCUUUAUCACGUUAAUACGCGCAGAAUUAUUGUGUGUUUGUCAUAGUAUUUCUUUUACAAAACAUAGUCUUGUUUUGAAGAUUUUGCAAACAUUGCUACUUCUCAAUGAAUCUUGACCUAUAUCUAUGCCUUACUACGCUCAUUACUUUGUGGACAAAAAAAAAUUAUUAAUUAAGAAAUAUUAUAAAUUAAGAAAUAUUAUUUUUACAUUAUAUUUCACAUUAUUGUGUGCAUGCAGGCAGUUCUAAUUGCCGUACUCGCACACGACUGCAUGUUUUCUGGCAUAUCUGCAGUCUCUUGCUGUGGUUGGAUACGAAAAAUCAAUAAUUUUUUUCUAUGUUUCAACAUGACUGAUCGGGAGACCGAAGUUGUUGCCUAAAUACUCGCAGAUUUCGUCUUGAGACGGUAUCAUGUAAUAGUCAUAAUGAUGCUGGGAAUAAUCAUCCGAAUGACCGAAAGAUCUACGAUCGGAAAAUCGCGAUCUCCGUUCAUGCACACUGGCGAGCUUUUCGGUGAGUGGCAAUAUUGCAUUAAUUAGAACGUGUGCACACAUAUAAAGAAAAAAAAAGAAAUUAUCUAUUUGUACCUUAAAAUUGUUUUCACCUAUUGGACAGAUUCGCGGAGAUUCUUGAAGACAUUUUUUGCAACACUGCUUUUGCUAUACAAAUGCUGUGACAAUGACUGUAACAAUGAGCAUUACUCUACUACAUGCAAGUACAUGUUUGUCAUUGAACUUCAACUUGGUAUUCGCGUAUUUCGUGUUAUUCACAGAUUAUCUUACGUUACUCACACUUAUAUGAUUAAUAGUUAAGAAAUUAAAGAGAGAUUAAAAUAUUGUAUUUUGUCGUUUUCGAGAUCGCGUCUUACAGAUUAACGAAAUUGGAGAAACGCUAAAGUAUAUGAUAUAUAUCUUUGCUCAAAUGUGUGUUACAAACGUUUUGCUUCAGUCUGCAAGGUCUGAAACUGAUCGAUCACAGAGUGCAAUUAUGUGAUAAAAUAUACAAUUCCUCAGGUAUGAAAUACCUGUGGAAUCACGAAAGCUGUUUCUGUUCGUGAUGCGAAGAAGCAUGCAACCCUGUUUUUUGAGCGCCAGCAAGAUUUCUGUUUUCUCUCUGAAGAGCUUCUCCACGGUAAAUGUUAUUUACGAAAUUUAUGUUACAUGUUCCUUUGAAAUCUUUUUUAAAAAUACUGGCACUUAUUUUAAAGAUUAUACAGUCUUCGUAUUUUAUCGUACUUGCAUCCUUCUAAUGAUCAAUAUUAUACUUUGGAUAAUAUCUGUGUGAUAGUAAUGUCUCUGAAAUAAUAAUUAUUAUUGUAGUAGUAAUAUUGUCAGUUUCCUAACUAUAUGUCCAUCUUUCUUUAACAAGAUAUCAUCUUGCUGCAAGUACGUAUUUAUUCAAGAUAAAAUUGUUUUCCAUAUAAAAGUUAUUAAAAAAACAUUGUUUUUUUUAUAUCAAAGAUCACCCAGCACAAUGGCAAUAUUUUAGAGUCAAUAAGAUUCAUAUUGUAUCUACAUUAUUGCUUUGAAAAUUAUGACAUUUGUAUGGAUUGAUUACUACAGUGUUACAAAAAGGAUUUUGUUGAAGAAAUGGAUAAGGAACAGUAAUAUUUAUUUUAAGUGUUGAAAUGUGUUCAUUUUUUGGUUCAAUUUUAAAGGAAAGUUAUUACGCGAGAUAACAGGUUUUUAGUAAUGGACUAGGUUUUAUUUGCAUCUAAUAUAGUACAUAGUAACGUCGUUAGCGCAAGUUGCGAAAACAAGUAAAUUCAAAACUGUUAACUGAUGAAAUUUGAUUUAACGUCAAGCAAAAAUCACGCGUUAUCGAUACUGGCGAGCAUGUCAUCUUGCUCAAAACGGUCAUACUAUACUUGUCAGUGAUUUCUCGAUAUUAUCAUUACAAAAAAAUCAAAAUCGUCAAAGUUAAGCUCGAAUAAAAAGAGAUAAGUCUUAAAUAUCUUAAACAUUUAAUCUGAUAACUUACUCACCUAUAUUAAUAAAAUCUUUUUCGUGUAAGGCGAAAGUUGUAUCGUGAAAAUAUUAUCAACUUUCUCCAAAUAUUUUAUAGCAAUUAAAACGAAUGUCACAUUGCAGCGUCAACGAGUACCAUUCAGUAUAUCGUUUGGAUAUUUCGUAAGAGUUUUGGGAUCGUCAACACUUUCUUCAUAAAUAAAAAAAUGUAACAAGAAGAAAGGCCGAGAGAUAGAUUCGACGAUAUCAUAAAAUCGACGAUAAUCCUGGCUUUUAUUUCGAUGACUCGUAAUGUUGAACUUAAGACCGUAAGUUUUACGAUCUAACGGGGGAUAUGUACGUGGAUAUAUGCGCAUAUGUUGCACGCAAGACGAAAUGUCUAUCGCAUUUUCAUCGCAUAUCGAGCGGUAUCUUUGAAUGUUAGAGAAUAUAUCAUGUAUCUCUUCGAUUUACCGAUCGAAAGGAAAUUUGAUUUUGUUAUUCGAUAUAAUAAAAUAGAUAAAAUUUUUCAAAACCACUGUGCUUUUGAAUGAUAAAGUGCUUUUGCACCAAGCUUCCACCGCUCAAUUGUACGCUGAAGACACGAGGCAAUGAAAAGAGAACCGGCUUUUUUCUUAGCUUCUUUCGAAGAUAAAAAACGGCACCUAUCGUUUUCGAAUCUAACGGCGCCUGUAUAAUGCCCUUGUCACAUGAUCUCUCUUUCGUUCCUCUAUAAUUAUUAUAGUAAUAGUAUUGUCUGUUUCCCGAUUACGUUCGUCUCUUCCUUUAACGCUUAGGCGAUCGUGCGAUCGUGAUAAA